GACAGAGGUGCCGAGCGUUAGGCGGAAUCACUGGGCUUAAAGCGUGUGUAGGCGGGUCGUUAAGUGUCUUGUGAAAUCCCCCGGCUCAACCGGGGAAUGGCUGGGCAUACUGGCGAUCUUGAGCAGUUCAGGGGCAGAUGGAACAAGUGGUGGAGCGGUGAAAUGCGUAGAUAUCACUUGGAACGCCAACGGUGAAGACAGUCUGCUGGGAACUUGCUGACGCUGAGACACGAAAGCCAGGGGAGCGAACGGG
This 253-nucleotide ribosomal RNA is filed under the name uncultured bacterium. RNAcentral describes it as "partial 16S ribosomal RNA". It matches the Rfam family "Bacterial small subunit ribosomal RNA", at positions 524 to 776 of the family's 1533-position model. The record is from RNAcentral.